RNAcentral lists this transfer RNA (56 nucleotides) under Brachionus rubens. RNAcentral describes it as "tRNA-Asn". Lineage: Eukaryota; Metazoa; Rotifera; Eurotatoria; Ploima; Brachionidae. The record is from RNAcentral.
UUACAUAUGUUUCUUUUAAGCUUGUUUUGCUUAUUUAGUGUUUACACUUGUGUAAU